RNAcentral lists this ribosomal RNA (238 nucleotides) under uncultured bacterium. RNAcentral describes it as "partial 16S ribosomal RNA". It matches the Rfam family "Bacterial small subunit ribosomal RNA", at positions 100 to 334 of the family's 1533-position model. The record is from RNAcentral.
CGGAACGGGUGAGUAACGCGUGAGGAACCUGCCUCAAAGAGGGGGACAACAGUUGGAAACGACUGCUAAUACCGCAUAAGCCCACGGGUCGGCAUCGACCAGAGGGAAAAGGAGCAAUCCGCUUUGAGAUGGCCUCGCGUCCGAUUAGCUAGUUGGUGAGGUAAUGGCCCACCAAGGCAACGAUCGGUAGCCGGACUGAGAGGUUGAACGGCCACAUUGGGACUGAGACACGGCCCAG